UUAAAUUGAAGAGUUUGAUCAUGGCUCAGAUUGAACGCUGGCGGCAGGCCUAACACAUGCAAGUCGAACGGUAACAGGAAGCAGCUUGCUGCUUUGCUGACGAGUGGCGGACGGGUGAGUAAUGUCUGGGAAACUGCCUGAUGGAGGGGGAUAACUACUGGAAACGGUGGCUAAUACCGCAUAACGUCGCAAGACCAAAGAGGGGGACCUUCGGGCCUCUUGCCAUCAGAUGUGCCCAGAUGGGAUUAGCUUGUUGGUGAGGUAACGGCUCACCAAGGCGACGAUCCCUAGCUGGUCUGAGAGGAUGACCAGCCACACUGGAACUGAGACACGGUCCAGACUCCUACGGGAGGCAGCAGUGGGGAAUAUUGCACAAUGGGCGCAAGCCUGAUGCAGCCAUGCCGCGUGUAUGAAGAAGGCCUUCGGGUUGUAAAGUACUUUCAGCGGGGAGGAAGGUGUUGUGGUUAAUAACCACAGCAAUUGACGUUACCCGCAGAAGAAGCACCGGCUAACUCCGUGCCAGCAGCCGCGGUAAUACGGAGGGUGCAAGCGUUAAUCGGAAUUACUGGGCGUAAAGCGCACGCAGGCGGUCUGUCAAGUCGGAUGUGAAAUCCCCGGGCUCAACCUGGGAACUGCAUUCGAAACUGGCAGGCUUGAGUCUUGUAGAGGGGGGUAGAAUUCCAGGUGUAGCGGUGAAAUGCGUAGAGAUCUGGAGGAAUACCGGUGGCGAAGGCGGCCCCCUGGACAAAGACUGACGCUCAGGUGCGAAAGCGUGGGGAGCAAACAGGAUUAGAUACCCUGGUAGUCCACGCCGUAAACGAUGUCUACUUGGAGGUUGUGCCCUUGAGGCGUGGCUUCCGGAGCUAACGCGUUAAGUAGACCGCCUGGGGAGUACGGCCGCAAGGUUAAAACUCAAAUGAAUUGACGGGGGCCCGCACAAGCGGUGGAGCAUGUGGUUUAAUUCGAUGCAACGCGAAGAACCUUACCUGGUCUUGACAUCCACAGAACUUUCCAGAGAUGGAUUGGUGCCUUCGGGAACUGUGAGACAGGUGCUGCAUGGCUGUCGUCAGCUCGUGUUGUGAAAUGUUGGGUUAAGUCCCGCAACGAGCGCAACCCUUAUCCUUUGUUGCCAGCGGUCCGGCCGGGAACUCAAAGGAGACUGCCAGUGAUAAACUGGAGGAAGGUGGGGAUGACGUCAAGUCAUCAUGGCCCUUACGACCAGGGCUACACACGUGCUACAAUGGCGCAUACAAAGAGAAGCGACCUCGCGAGAGCAAGCGGACCUCAUAAAGUGCGUCGUAGUCCGGAUUGGAGUCUGCAACUCGACUCCAUGAAGUCGGAAUCGCUAGUAAUCGUGGAUCAGAAUGCCACGGUGAAUACGUUCCCGGGCCUUGUACACACCGCCCGUCACACCAUGGGAGUGGGUUGCAAAAGAAGUAGGUAGCUUAACCUUCGGGAGGGCGCUUACCACUUUGUGAUUCAUGACUGGGGUGAAGUCGUAACAAGGUAACCGUAGGGGAACCUGCGGUUGGAUCACCUCCUUACCUGAAAGAA
Molecule: ribosomal RNA, 1554 nt
Filed under: Salmonella enterica subsp. enterica serovar Antsalova str. S01-0511
Lineage: Bacteria; Pseudomonadati; Pseudomonadota; Gammaproteobacteria; Enterobacterales; Enterobacteriaceae
Description: bacterial SSU rRNA
Rfam family: Bacterial small subunit ribosomal RNA
Source: RNAcentral